UGAAGCCAGACCGUCUUUCCUCACAGCUCCAGGGCUGCAUCUCCGUGGGCACGCCAAGCUUCCCCUGGUUACCUGAGCUGCUCCUGCCGUCUCCCGCCUGGGCUUCGCCAAGGUGCACCCGAUCCCGGAAUCGUGCGUCUGCGCCCUGCGAAAGAAGGACCUGCUGGCGGAGCUCCGGCCAGGGUCUCCUGCCUCGCAGCUGGGCGAGGGGACUUGGAGGACAGGGUGAAGCUGCAGAAGACCUGGGGUGGGAUGGCUAGAGAGGACGCCAAGGACUGGGGAAGGGGAAGUUAGGAAUACCUUACAUCCAAUGCCCACCCGUGCUCCACAGGGCAAGGGCAGCCGUCGCCUCCGCCGCGUGCACCCAGCUCAGGCUGUUCCCAGGGAUUUAGUCUGGGGGGACAACCCAUGGCGAGAUGUGGUGGCAUUUUACCUCAGAGUGGAGCUGAAGAUGGAUAAACAAGGGCACCGAGGAAGAGAACCAAUGGCAGAGGCCACAUGUGCAAGCAAGAUGGGAGUCUGGAGAGCCUCAGGCUAAAUCACGAGUGCUCAGCCCUCUCCUCUUUGUAAGGGCAACCGCGUCAUAUCUGCCAGCAUAGAACUGCUCUGUCCACAGCCCUAAAAUCUAAUACCUAGAACAAUAAAUGCACUUAAGUACGUCAAACUCUCUCAACCAGUGAUGAAAUCUGUCACUAGCGAAGGGACUUGUCCCAAGGGAGCUGAACACCUGCCCCUGCACCCUGACAAUGUAUAAGAAACAAGCACCACUGUGGAUGCA
This 778-nucleotide long non-coding RNA is filed under the name Pan troglodytes (chimpanzee). RNAcentral's name for it is "long non-coding RNA NONPTRT014537". The record is from RNAcentral. Lineage: Eukaryota; Metazoa; Chordata; Mammalia; Primates; Hominidae.